UACGGGGGGGGCAAGCGUUGUUCGGAAUUACUGGGCGUAAAGGGCGCGUAGGCGGUUCGCUAAGUUGGAUGUGAAAACUCUGGGCUCAACCCAGAGCCUGCAUCCAAAACUGGCGGGCUAGAGUUCUGGAGGGGGUAGCGGAAUUCCUGGUGUAGCGGUGAAAUGCGUAGAUAUCAGGAGGAACACCGGUGGCGAAGGCGGCUACCUGGACAGAAACUGACGCUGAGGCGCGAAAGCCGGGGGAGCAAACAGG
This 253-nucleotide ribosomal RNA is filed under the name uncultured bacterium. RNAcentral's name for it is "partial 16S ribosomal RNA". It matches the Rfam family "Bacterial small subunit ribosomal RNA", at positions 524 to 776 of the family's 1533-position model. The record is from RNAcentral.